This 577-nucleotide ribosomal RNA is filed under the name uncultured bacterium. RNAcentral's name for it is "partial 16S ribosomal RNA". It matches the Rfam family "Bacterial small subunit ribosomal RNA", at positions 355 to 923 of the family's 1533-position model. The record is from RNAcentral.
UGGGGAAUUUUGGACAAUGGGCGAAAGCCUGAUCCAGCAAUGCCGCGUGUGUGAAGAAGGCCUUCGGGUUGUAAAGCACUUUUGUCCGGAAAGAAAUCCUUGGCUCUAAUACAGUCGGGGGAUGACGGUACCGGAAGAAUAAGCACCGGCUAACUACGUGCCAGCAGCCGCGGUAAUACGUAGGGUGCAAGCGUUAAUCGGAAUUACUGGGCGUAAAGCGUGCGCAGGCGGUUUGCUAAGACCGAUGUGAAAUCCCCGGGCUCAACCUGGGAACUGCAUUGGUGACUGGCAGGCUAGAGUAUGGCAGAGGGGGGUAGAAUUCCACGUGUAGCAGUGAAAUGCGUAGAGAUGUGGAGGAAUACCGAUGGCGAAGGCAGCCCCCUGGGCCAAUACUGACGCUCAUGCACGAAAGCGUGGGGAGCAAACAGGAUUAGAUACCCUGGUAGUCCAGCGCCCUAAAACGAUGUCAACUAGUUGUUGGGGAUUCAUUUCCUUAGUAACGUAGCUAACGCGUGAAGUUGACCGCCUGGGGAGUACGGUCGCAAGAUUAAAACUUAAAGGAAUUGACGGGGUCAUA